AGUGAACGCUGGCGGCGUGCUUAACACAUGCAAGUCGAACGAGAACGGGCUAUAGCUUGCUAUAGUUGUCAGCUAAGUGGCGCACGGGUGAGUAAUGUAUAGGUAAUGUGCCUCUUACUAAGGGAUAACAAAUGGAAACGUUUGCUAAUACCUUAUACUCCUUAUUAACAUAAGUUAAUAAGGGAAAGAUUUAUCGGUAAGAGAUUGGCCUGUAUUGUAUCAGUUAGUUGGUGGGGUAAUGGCCUACCAAGACAAUGACACAUAACUGGUUUGAGAGGAUGAUCAGUCACACUGGAACUGAGACACGGUCCAGACUCCUACGGGAGGCAGCAGUGGGGAAUAUUGCACAAUGGACGAAAGUCUGAUGCAGCAACGCCGCGUGGAGGAUGACACAUUUCGGUGCGUAAACUCCUUUUAUAUAAGAAGAUAAUGACGGUAUUAUAUGAAUAAGCACCGGCUAACUCCGUGCCAGCAGCCGCGGUAAUACGGGGGGUGCAAGCGUUACUCGGAAUCACUGGGCGUAAAGAGCAUGUAGGCGGAUUGAUAAGUUUGAAGUGAAAUCCUAUAGCUUAACUAUAGAACUGCUUUGAAAACUGUUAAUCUAGAAUGUGGGAGAGGUAGAUGGAAUUUCUGGUGUAGGGGUAAAAUCCGUAGAGAUCAGAAGGAAUACCGAUUGCGAAGGCGAUCUACUGGAACAUUAUUGACGCUGAGAUGCGAAAGCGUGGGGAGCAAACAGGAUUAGAUACCCUGGUAGUCCACGCCCUAAACGAUGUACACUAGUUGUUGUGAGACUAGAUCUUGCAGUAAUGCAGUUAACACAUUAAGUGUACCGCCUGGGGAGUACGGUCGCAAGAUUAAAACUCAAAGGAAUAGACGGGGACUCGCACAAGCGGUGGAGCAUGUGGUUUAAUUCGACGAUACACGAAGAACCUUACCUGGACUUGACAUAGUAAGAAUGAUUU
RNAcentral lists this ribosomal RNA (962 nucleotides) under uncultured bacterium. Its description in RNAcentral is "bacterial SSU rRNA". It matches the Rfam family "Bacterial small subunit ribosomal RNA", at positions 28 to 1001 of the family's 1533-position model. The record is from RNAcentral.